GUAAGCUACUAAGAGCGAAUGGUGGAUGCCUUGACUGGUAAAGGCGAUGAAGGACGUACUAGACUGCGAUAAGCUACGGGGAGCUGUCAAGAAGCUUUGAUCCGUAGAUUUCCGAAUGGGGCAACCCAAUGUAUAGAGAUAUACAUUACCUAUAUAGGAGCGAACGAGGGGAAUUGAAACAUCUUAGUACCCUCAGGAAAAGAAAUCAAUAGAGAUUGCGUCAGUAGCGGCGAGCGAAAGCGCAAGAGGGCAAACCCAGUGCUUGCACUGGGGGUUGUAGGACUGCAAUGUGCAAGAGCUGAGUUUAGCAGAACAUUCUGGAAAGUAUAGCCAUAGAGGGUGAUAGUCCCGUAUGCGAAAAACAAAGCUUAGCUAGCAGUAUCCUGAGUAGGGCGGGACACGAGGAAUCCUGUCUGAAUCCGGGUCGACCACGAUCCAACCCUAAAUACUAAUACCAGAUCGAUAGUGCACAAGUACCGUGAGGGAAAGGUGAAAAGAACUGAGGUGAUCAGAGUGAAAUAGAACCUGAAACCAUUUGCUUACAAUCAUUCAGAGCACUAUGUAGCAAUACAGUGUGAUGGACUGCCUUUUGCAUAAUGAGCCUGCGAGUUGUGGUGUCUGGCAAGGUUAAGCAAACGCGAAGCCGUAGCGAAAGCGAGUCUGAAUAGGGCGCUUAGUCAGAUGCUGCAGACCCGAAACGAAGUGAUCUAUCCAUGAGCAAGUUGAAGCUAGUGUAAGAACUAGUGGAGGACUGAACCCAUAGGCGUUGAAAAGCCCCGGGAUGACUUGUGGAUAGGGGUGAAAGGCCAAUCAAACUUCGUGAUAGCUGGUUCUCUCCGAAAUAUAUUUAGGUAUAGCGUUGUGUCGUAAUAUAAGGGGGUAGAGCACUGAAUGGGCUAGGGCAUACACCAAUGUACCAAACCCUAUCAAACUCCGAAUACCUUAUAUGUAAUCACAGCAGUCAGGCGGCGAGUGAUAAAAUCCGUCGUCAAGAGGGAAACAACCCAGACUACCAGCUAAGGUCCCUAAAUCUUACUUAAGUGGAAAACGAUGUGAAGUUACUUAAACAACCAGGAGGUUGGCUUAGAAGCAGCCAUCCUUUAAAGAAAGCGUAAUAGCUCACUGGUCUAGUGAUUUUGCGCGGAAAAUAUAACGGGGCUAAAGUAAGUACCGAAGCUGUAGACUUGCACACAACUUAGAUUAUUUAAGUUUAGAAUAUGAGAAACUAAGUUAUAUGUUUAGUUAUAUUUUUACUGAUUUUUAUAGAGUAAAGAUAGAAAUAAAACUUAGUAAAAUCAGUAAAAAUAUUCUUAGGCUAAAGUUAAGUAGUUUAAGUUGUGUGCAAGUGGUAGGAGAGCGUUCUAUUUGCGUCGAAGGUAUACCGGUAAGGAGUGCUGGAGCGAAUAGAAGUGAGCAUGCAGGCAUGAGUAGCGAUAAUUAAUGUGAGAAUCAUUAACGCCGUAAACCCAAGGUUUCCUACGCGAUGCUCGUCAUCGUAGGGUUAGUCGGGUCCUAAGCUGAGUCCGAAAGGGGUAGACGAUGGCAAAUUGGUUAAUAUUCCAAUACCAACAUUAGUGUGCGAUGGAAGGACGCUUAGGGCUAAGGGGGCUAGCGGAUGGAAGUGCUAGUCUAAGGUUGUAGGAGGUUAUACAGGCAAAUCCGUAUAACAAUACUCCGAGAACUGAAAGGCUUUUUGAAGUCUUCGGAUGGAUAGAAGAACCCCUGAUGCCGUCGAGCCAAGAAAAGUUUCUAAGUUUAGCUAAUGUUGCCCGUACCGUAAACCGACACAGGUGGGUGGGAUGAGUAUUCUAAGGCGCGUGGAAGAACUCUCUUUAAGGAACUCUGCAAAAUAGCACCGUAUCUUCGGUAUAAGGUGUGGUUAGCUUCGUACUAGGAUUUACUCCGAAAGCGAAGAAACUUACAACAAAGAGUCCCUCCCGACUGUUUACCAAAAACACAGCACUCUGCUAACUCGUAAGAGGAUGUAUAGGGUGUGACGCCUGCCCGGUGCUCGAAGGUUAAUUGAUGGGGUUAGCAUUAGCGAAGCUCUUGAUCGAAGCCCGAGUAAACGGCGGCCGUAACUAUAACGGUCCUAAGGUAGCGAAAUUCCUUGUCGGUUAAAUACCGACCUGCAUGAAUGGCGUAACGAGAUGGGAGCUGUCUCAAAGAGGGAUCCAGUGAAAUUGUAGUGGAGGUGAAAAUUCCUCCUACCCGCGGCAAGACGGAAAGACCCCGUGGACCUUUACUACAGCUUGACACUGCUACUUGGAUAAGAAUGUGCAGGAUAGGUGGGAGGCUUUGAGUAUAUGACGCCAGUUGUAUAUGAGCCAUUGUUGAGAUACCACUCUUUCUUAUUUGGGUAGCUAACCAGCUUGAGUUAUCCUCAAGUGGGACAAUGUCUGGUGGGUAGUUUGACUGGGGCGGUCGCCUCCCAAAUAAUAACGGAGGCUUACAAAGGUUGGCUCAGAACGGUUGGAAAUCGUUCGUAGAGUAUAAAGGUAUAAGCCAGCUUAACUGCAAGACAUACAAGUCAAGCAGAGACGAAAGUCGGUCUUAGUGAUCCGGUGGUUCUGUGUGGAAGGGCCAUCGCUCAAAGGAUAAAAGGUACCCCGGGGAUAACAGGCUGAUCUCCCCCAAGAGCUCACAUCGACGGGGAGGUUUGGCACCUCGAUGUCGGCUCAUCGCAUCCUGGGGCUGGAGCAGGUCCCAAGGGUAUGGCUGUUCGCCAUUUAAAGCGGUACGCGAGCUGGGUUCAGAACGUCGUGAGACAGUUCGGUCCCUAUCUGCCGUGGGCGUAAGAAGAUUGAAGAGAUUUGACCCUAGUACGAGAGGACCGGGUUGAACAAACCACUGGUGUAGCUGUUGUUCUGCCAAGAGCAUCGCAGCGUAG
RNAcentral lists this ribosomal RNA (2890 nucleotides) under Campylobacter jejuni. RNAcentral's name for it is "partial 23S ribosomal RNA". It matches the Rfam family "Bacterial large subunit ribosomal RNA". Lineage: Bacteria; Pseudomonadati; Campylobacterota; Epsilonproteobacteria; Campylobacterales; Campylobacteraceae. The record is from RNAcentral.